AUACCGGUUUAUCCUGCCGGCGGUCACUGCUAUUUGGGUCCGAACAGCCAUGCAAGUCGUGAGGGGUAAGCCCUCGGCGAACGGCUCAGUAACACGUAGAUAACCUAAACCAUAGUGGGGGAUAACCUCGGGAAACUGAGGAUAAUACCCCAUAGCCAAAAUGUGCUGGAACUCGCCAUUUUGGCAAAAGCGCAAGCGCUAUGGUCUGGGUCUGCGGCCGAUCAGGUUGUUGGUGGUGUAAUGGACCACCAAGCCUUAGACCGGUACGGGCCAUGAAAGUGGUGGCCCGGAGAGGGGCACUGAGACAAGGGCCCCAGCCCUACGGGGUGCAGCAGGCGCGAACACUCCACAAUUCCUUAACAGGAGAUGGGGGGACCCAAAGUGUCCAUGCUCUGCAUGGACUUUUGCCAAAGCUAAAACCUUUGGCGAAUAAGUGGAGGGCAAGACGGGUGCCAGCAGCCGCGGUAAUACCCGCUCCACGAGUGGUGACCACGAUUAUUGGGCCUAAAGCGUCCGUAGCCGGCUAUGCAAGUUCCUGGUGAAAUCGUUCGUCUCAAGCGAACGGCGUGCUGGGAAUACUGCAUAGCUAGGGACCGGGAGGGGGUAGGGGUAUUCCUAGGGUAGGGGUAAAAUCUUAUAAUCCUAGGAAGACCACCUGUGGCGAAAGCGCCUACCCAGAACGGGUCCGACGGUGAGGAACGAAAGCUGGGGGAGCGAACCGGAUUAGAUACCCGGGUAGUCCCAGCCGUAAACGCUGCCCACUAGGUGUUACAUUCUCUUCGGGAGAAUGUAGUGCCGAAGCGAAGGCAUUAAGUGGGCCGCCUGGGGAGUACGGUCGCAAGGCUGAAACUUAAAGGAAUUGGCGGGGGAGCACAACAAGGGGUGAAGCCUACGGUUUAAUUGGAUUCAACGCCGGGAAUCUCACCAGGGGCGACAGCAAUAUGAAGGCCAGUCUAAAGGGCUUGCCUAAUGCGCUGAGAGGAGGUGCAUGGCCGCCGUCAGCUCGUGCCGUGAGGUGUCCUGUUAACAGGCACUCCAGCACGAAUGACAAGCCUCCAAAGUGCCUGGCAGUCAGUCAGGCAACGAGCGAGACCCUCGUCAUCAGUUGCGACCAAGAUAGUUUUAUCUUGGGCACACUGAUGAGACUGCUCCUGUUAAAGGAGAGGAAGGUGAGGGCGACGAUAGGUCAGUAUGCCCCGAAUCCCCUGGGCUACACGCGGGCUGCAAUGCAUUGGACAAUGGGUUGCAACCCCGAAAGGGGAAGCCAAUCCCAGAAACCAAUGCCUAGUUCGGAUCGAGGGUUGAAACUCACCCUCGUGAAGCCGGAAUCCCUAGUAACCGCAGUUCAUCACACUGCGGUGAAUACGUCCCUGCUCCUUGCACACACCGCCCGUCACGCCAUCCGAGUCAGGUUUUGGUGAGGGACUCUCUCUUGGGAGUUUCGAACCAGAACUUGGCGAGGGGGGUGAAGUCGUCACAAGGUAGCCGUACGGGAACGUGCGGCUGGAUCACCUCCU
RNAcentral lists this ribosomal RNA (1517 nucleotides) under Candidatus Nanoarchaeia archaeon. Its description in RNAcentral is "bacterial SSU rRNA". It matches the Rfam family "Archaeal small subunit ribosomal RNA". The record is from RNAcentral. Lineage: Archaea; Nanobdellati; Nanobdellota; Candidatus Nanoarchaeia. RNAcentral also lists the same sequence under 1 other name.